UACGUAGGGUGCGAGCGUUAAUCGGAAUUACUGGGCGUAAAGCGUGCGCAGGCGGUUUUGUAAGCCAGAUGUGAAAUCCCGGGGCUUAACCUGGGAAUGGCAUUUGGGACUGCAAGGCUUGAGUGCGGCAGAGGAGACUGGAAUUCCUGGUGUAGCAGUGAAAUGCGUAGAUAUCAGGAGGAACACCAGUGGCGAAGGCGGCUUUCUGGGCAUUACCUGACGCUGAGACGCGAAAGCGUGGGGAGCGAACCGG
RNAcentral lists this ribosomal RNA (253 nucleotides) under uncultured bacterium. RNAcentral describes it as "partial 16S ribosomal RNA". It matches the Rfam family "Bacterial small subunit ribosomal RNA", at positions 524 to 776 of the family's 1533-position model. The record is from RNAcentral.